Dromiciops gliroides (monito del monte) is the source of this 105-nucleotide small nuclear RNA. The record is from RefSeq and is a predicted model, not a curated record. NCBI's taxonomy places the organism in Eukaryota, Metazoa, Chordata, Mammalia, Microbiotheria, Microbiotheriidae.
UUCUUUCUUUGGUAGCAAUAUAAUAAAACUGCAACACUACAAAGUGGACUAGCACAUCCUCUGCAUAAGGAUGACACACUAGUUUCUGAAGCCCUCUAUAGUUUU